RNA transcript from Nilaparvata lugens (brown planthopper), 3940 nucleotides. It is a transcript of the gene named cGMP-dependent protein kinase, isozyme 1, with no coding region annotated. The transcript is spliced from 17 exons. The record is from RefSeq and is a predicted model, not a curated record. NCBI's taxonomy places the organism in Eukaryota, Metazoa, Arthropoda, Insecta, Hemiptera, Delphacidae.
AGAUUUGAGACGCUGCUGCUGUCUCCAGUCGCGCGUGUGCCACGGUUAUCGCGUCGCGUGUCGCGUGUGAAAGUGACUUAAGGCCGCUGGUUCAUUUUCACGCCGGUGUUUCUUGUUACGGGAAUUCUCACUUACUACCAAAUGCUCUGACUCCUCAAGAAGUCAUGGCAGACCCCCCUACCAAUCCGCCUACAAACAAGCAACGCUGCAGUUGCGGUAAACUGCCGCUAGAUGCCAGCAUUGACAGCGCUACAGCUCCACCAGCAACAGCUGAUUGCGAGGCGCCAAAUUCAAAUAUCACCAGCGACGUCGGCGCCGCUUCUGAAGCGUCUGCGCAUGCGCGGAAAUUGUCGGAAAGCGUCGCUGGAGACGAGGAACGUUUCGACGCCAGUAGUAAACGCGCGUCAAACGCCUCCACUGGCGUCUCUUGUACUACCGGGUCCAAGGAACAGAUCUGCCGCCUCCAAGACGUGAGCGCCGCCCCCGCGUGUGCGGUGAACAUCUGGCCGGUGGUGUCGGCGCACGACCCCGACCCCAUCCUCUCGCCGCCCUGCGACUCGUUCCUGUACUCGGGACCCGUGUCGUUGACGGAGAUCCUGCAGGAGAGGGAUCGGCACUACGUGGACUGGCGCUGCACCAAGUUGAGCUUCGACGACUCGGACAGAGUGCGUGACUUCGCCGUGUGGGCCGCUCAGGGCAAACGCAGCAUCGACGAGUAUUGGGGCUGUGGACGCAGUAAGAUAAUCGUAGAUCACAGCGUCGGCGGCGACCGUUACCGCGCGCUAAAUGAUAACCGGCGACGAAUCGACCAAGCCACUCUCACGGAACAGCCCCCCUCUCGCCACCACCACAACACCAUCACCUCCUCACGCAUGCGCAUGGGCAACGGCGCAUCGUCGUGCGACGCCACCCGGCAUGCGGCAGGCGACAAGCGGCAUGCGUCAAGUGACAGCGUCAGGCAUGCGGAAACCGCGCGACAGACAUGCGCCUCGACGCUGCUGGACGUGAGUUGUACGGGUGGCCGCGGCGGUGUGACAUCUUGUGCCAACGAGGCAGUCAUACCUCUGCUGCAGCGGGAGUUGAAGGAGUGGGAGACACGAGCCAUGCAGCUAGGUACUGAGCUGCUGCAGCUGAGGAGGGAGCUCGAAGCCAGGGACCACGAGAUUGUCAGGCUGCACAGGGAGGUGCACAAGUUGAGGAGUGUACUGCAGCAAACAACAACUCUGGUGCAAGAUGGAGAUUUGCUGUCAUCUCUACAGCAGGUGCACGGUAUGGUUGGGCAGAAUGCCUCCAACAAGAAGCAGGGCGUUUCGGCCGAGAGCUCCAGGAACAACCAGACGGCUACAGAUAUCCAGGUGCAGCAUUUCGAGAAGGACUUCAGCUCAAAACAACUCAUCAAAGCUGCUAUUCUGGACAACGAUUUCUUGAAAAACCUGAGUCUGAGCCAAGUGAGAGAGCUGGUGGAGUCCAUGCAUCCACAGGAGUGCACCAAGGGAAACUAUGUCAUAAGGGAGGGAGAGUCAGGUGCCCAUCUAUACGUGGCUGCAGAAGGUGAAUUUGAAGUGAUCAAAGAUGGUAAGGUGCUGGGACAUAUGGGACCAGGCAAGGCGUUUGGAGAACUCGCUAUCCUAUACAACUGCACAAGGACUGCUUCAGUAAGAGCUGUCAAGGAUUCCAAAGUAUGGGUGCUGGACAGGCGAAUAUUUCAGAGGAUAAUGAAAAGAACAGGUCUGCAAAGGCUGGAAGAAAAUAUCAGUUUUCUACGCAGUGUACCUCUUCUUCAUAAUCUAAGUAGUGAUAUGCUGGCAAGGAUAGCUGAUUGCUUGGAAGUGGAGUUUUUCCCGUCUGGCCAUCACAUCAUAAGGCAGGGUGCAAGUGGAGAUACAUUCUUCAUUCUGAGCGGGGGAAGUGUGAAAGUUACACAGAAAAUACCAGGAACGACUGAAGACCAAGAAAUUAGGAUACUGGAAAGAGGUGACUACUUCGGCGAGCAAGCUCUGCUGAAGGAGGAGUUCCGCACAGCCAGCGUGAUAGCACUGUCGCCGGGCGUCGAGUGCCUGACUCUGGACCGCGAGUCGUUCAUCCGACUGAUCGGCGACCUGAGUGAGCUACACCAGCGCGACUAUGGCGACAAGACGCGAAGUGUCGUGUCGCGGCCACCCAGCGCGUCCAGUGUGCAUCAGGAUAGUGAUCAAGGUGAAAUGGACUUCAUCAGCCUGAACGACCUGGACAUAAUCGAGACACUGGGAAUUGGCGGGUUCGGCCGCGUUGAGCUGGUGCAGUGCGUCUUCGACAAGAACCAGACGUUUGCGCUCAAGUGCCUCAAGAAGCAGCACAUCGUCGAAACACACCAGCAGGAGCAUGUCUACAGCGAGAAGAGUAUCAUGAUGGAGUGUCGCAGUGCAUUCAUUUGCAGGUUGUACAAAACAUUCAAAGACAACAAGUACGUGUACAUGCUGCUUGAGGCGUGUAUGGGAGGGGAGGUGUGGACCAUUCUGCGGGACCGCGGCUACUUCGAUGACGCCACCGCUUGCUUCAUCACCGCCUGCGUGGUCGAGGCUCUCGACUACUUGCACAGCAGGGGCAUUGUCUACCGGGACCUCAAACCUGAGAAUCUGUUGCUAGAUUCGACGGGUUAUGUCAAAAUAUAUUGUCUUUUCAGGUUGACUUUGGUUUUGCAAAAAAGUUGGGCUACAGUUCAAAAACAUGGACAUUCUGUGGUACACCUGAGUAUGUGGCUCCUGAGAUCAUUCUCAACAAGGGACACGAUAAGGCUGUGGACUGUUGGGCUCUGGGAAUCCUCAUGCAUGAACUAUUAACUGGAGCGCCUCCAUUCAGCGGCACCGACCCGAUGAAAGUAUACAACAUGAUUCUGAAAGGCAUCAACAUGGUGCUGUUUCCGCGACACAUGACUCGCGCCGCACAAUGCCUCAUCAAGCGGCUCUGCAAGGACGCGCCAGCCGAACGCCUGGGCGCUCAGAAGGGUGGCAUCAACGACAUACGCAAGAACAAAUGGUUCCAAGGUUUUGACUGGGACGGAUUACGGAAUAGAACUCUUGUACCUCCAAUAGUGCCUCAGAUACACAGUCCAACGGACACUUCGAAUUUCGACAACUAUCCGAAAGAAGCGGACAUUCCUCCCGACGAGGAUUCACACUGGGACGUCGAUUUCUGAUUAUAGUAGAAUUUCAAUUAUGAUUCUACACAGUUUUGAAAAUCAGUGGGAAAACAGUUACCAUGAUGGCUUGCGGUAAAAAUAUGAGAAAAACUUCGAAUAGUGCCGAGGUUUUGUGAAGAAAAUAACGUUGGCCGUUUUUCAAACGAAUAUUUUUGAAAAUACGGUAUCCUACAAAGGAGUAAAAUAAGCUAAGAUUUUGAAUAGUUCAGACAUUUCGUAAAAAAAACAUAAGUCUUCAAAUGAUGAUUCACAACUAUACAAAACAUCAAAGGCGCAAAGGGAGGUACAUUUUAAUUAAAGCUGUAUUCUACUUGUUUCAAUUUGUUCUAAGAUUUUUAAAAAUAACCUUCAAACGGUAAAAAUAAGCUGAAAGUUGUAUUCUAUUUGUUUUGAUAUCAAGAUUUUUUAAAAUAGCCUACAAACGGUAAAAAGAAGCUAAGUACAGAAGUCUUGUGAGAAAUAACACAGACGAUCAAGAAACUAAGGUCCUUUGGCUAUCUCUGUACAUACGAUUCUCAAGAACGUUAUUAGCCGAGCAUGAUUUGUUUGCCUAGUAACCAAAAAUAGAAACCAAUUUUAGUAGCCAUUACAAUGGUUCUGAUGUUUUAAUUGGUUGUCAAAACGUGCUUGACUAAGCACGUUCUACGCCUAGAAGCCAAUAACAGGAAUCAAUCUGAAGGAUUCUAGUAGUAGAAUAGUUUUCAUUGUUUUAAAGUAUAAUAUUACUCAUUGGAUAGCAAGGCGUGCUUGGCUGAGAACAUU